AGGAUUCCCUCAGUAAUGGCGAAUGAACAGGGAACAGCUCAGCAUGGAAAUCGGGGCCACCCGGCCUUGAAUUGUAGUCUGGAGAUGUACUGCCAACAGAGGCGCAGAUGUAAGCCUCUUGGAAAAGAGCAUCAACGAGGGUGAGAGUCCCGUUUGUCAUCUGCAGUCCCCUGUGCACGGUGUGCAUUCUAAGAGUCGCGUUCCUCGGGAUUGGAGCGUAAAGCGGGUGGUAAAUUUCAUCUAAAGCUAAAUAUUGGUUCGAGACCGAUAGCAAACAAGUACCAUGAGGGAAAGGUGAAAAGGACUUUGAAAAGAGAGUUAAAAGUGCCUGAAAUUGCUGAAAGGGAAGCGAAUGGAACCAGUGUUCUUGGCGAGAUUGUCGCGCGCUCUGGUGAUUGCUGGCUGUCCUAGCGCAAGCGGGGCAGUUAGUUUUGAUCUAGCGGCGCGCGGUGUUUCUUACCUUGUGUGUCACCGUCGGCUCAUAAGCGAGGAAAACUCCAGGACCAUGGUAGUUCGGCUACGGUUGAGCGAAUGGGCUUGGUAGUACUCAUUUGUGAGUCGAUUCCAGCGUGUCUGGUUGCAGUGUUCGCUUCGUCUUUGGAUUGUUGG
This 609-nucleotide ribosomal RNA is filed under the name Azadinium perforatum. Its description in RNAcentral is "partial large subunit ribosomal RNA". It matches the Rfam family "Eukaryotic large subunit ribosomal RNA", at positions 71 to 634 of the family's 3401-position model. Lineage: Eukaryota; Dinophyceae; Gonyaulacales; Amphidomataceae. The record is from RNAcentral.